This 446-nucleotide ribosomal RNA is filed under the name uncultured bacterium. RNAcentral's name for it is "bacterial SSU rRNA". It matches the Rfam family "Bacterial small subunit ribosomal RNA", at positions 29 to 474 of the family's 1533-position model. The record is from RNAcentral.
AUUGAACGCUGGCGGCAUGCCUUACACAUGCAAGUCGAACGGCAGCACGGGGGCAACCCUGGUGGCGAGUGGCGGACGGGUGAGUAAUGCAUCGGAACGUGCCCUGAAGUGGGGGAUAACGCAGCGAAAGCUACGCUAAUACCGCAUAUUCUGUGAGCAGGAAAGCAGGGGAUCGCAAGACCUUGCGCUUUGGGAGCGGCCGAUGUCGGAUUAGCUAGUUGGUGGGGUAAAGGCCUACCAAGGCGACGAUCCGUAGCGGGUCUGAGAGGAUGAUCCGCCACACUGGGACUGAGACACGGCCCAGACUCCUACGGGAGGCAGCAGUGGGGAAUUUUGGACAAUGGGCGAAAGCCUGAUCCAGCCAUGCCGCGUGAGUGAAGAAGGCCUUCGGGUUGUAAAGCUCUUCGGUGGGAAGAAUUAGCAUAGGCUAAUACCCUGUGUAGAUG